This 234-nucleotide ribosomal RNA is filed under the name uncultured bacterium. RNAcentral's name for it is "partial 16S ribosomal RNA". It matches the Rfam family "Bacterial small subunit ribosomal RNA", at positions 524 to 756 of the family's 1533-position model. The record is from RNAcentral.
UACGUAGGGUGCGAGCGUUGUCCGGAAUUAUUGGGCGUAAAGAGCUCGUAGGCGGUCUGUCGCGUCUGCUGUGAAAACCCGAGGCUCAACCUCGGGCCUGCAGUGGGUACGGGCAGACUAGAGUCCGGUAGGGGAGUGUGGAACUCCUGGUGUAGCGGUGAAAUGCGCAGAGUAUCAGGAAGAACACCAGCGGCGAAGGCGGCACUCUGGGCCGGUACUGACGCUGAGGAGCGA